AGGACUAACGCUGGCGGCGUGCCUAACACAUGCAAGUCGAACGAGGGGUAGCAAUACCCCUAGUGGCAGACGGGUGAGUAACACGUAGUCAACCUACCUCUUAAUGGGGGAUAACUAGCCGAAAGGUUAGCUAAUACCGCAUACGAUCGUCGAGUGGCAUCACACGACGAUGAAAGGAGCAAUCCGUUGAGAGAGGGGACUGCGUCCCAUUAGUUAGUUGGUGGGGUAAUGGCCUACCAAGACUCCGAUGGGUAGCUGGCUUGAGAGAGCGACCAGCCACACUGGAACUGAGACACGGUCCAGACUCCUACGGGAGGCAGCAGUGAGGAAUUUUCCGCAAUGGGGGAAACCCUGACGGAGCGACGCCGCGUGUGGGAAGAAGGCCUUCGGGUCGUAAACCACUGUCGAGGGGACGAUAUUGACGGUACCCUGGAGGAAGCCCCGGCUAACUACGCGCCAGCAGCCGC
This 467-nucleotide ribosomal RNA is filed under the name uncultured bacterium. RNAcentral describes it as "SSU rRNA". It matches the Rfam family "Bacterial small subunit ribosomal RNA", at positions 26 to 518 of the family's 1533-position model. The record is from RNAcentral.